This 1286-nucleotide long non-coding RNA is filed under the name Homo sapiens (human). RNAcentral's name for it is "PREDICTED lncRNA (TCONS_00158694)". The record is from RNAcentral. Lineage: Eukaryota; Metazoa; Chordata; Mammalia; Primates; Hominidae.
CCGACCUCAGCUUCGCCUGCGAGCUGGGUUGUGUAAAGGCUGGUCAUUUUGGGGCGCUUAGGGGUGGGUGCCGGGGGGCGCGCUUUCCCUCGUGAAGGUCGCUCCAGGAGUCAUGCGUACAUUCGUUCAUUUUGCUCUGGACGCACUGAUGUUCCCGGCUCGCCGCCGUGCCGCAGUCACGAGGCUCUCCGAACGCCUUUCACUGUGUUUCUGUUUACAUUCGCGUCUGCAAGACCCGGCGGCGCGACCGAGGCCCGAACAGAUGGAGAUGGGCUGCCAUGUUGUGAGCUGCCCCAUGGGGAAGAGGCUCACAUGUGAGGAACUGAGGGAGGCCUCCAGAAAACAGCCAGUGAAGAACUGAGACCCUCAGUCCAAUAGCCUAUGAGGAACUGAAUCCUGCUGACAACCAUAUGAAUGAGCUUGGAAGCAGAUCCUUCCCCAGUGAAGCCUUCAUGUGAGACUGCAGCCCACUUGACACUUUGAUUUGUAGCUUGUGACAGACCCCAAGCCAGAAGAGUCAGGCCGUAUGCAGUGGCUCAACGCCUGCAAUCCCAGAACUUUGGGAGGCCGAGGCAGGUGGAUCACUUGAGGAAAUCCAAGCUAAUUCCUGUGCCAAAGGCUGGCUUAAGAGAGGGCCCACAAUGCAAUUCUGGCCUGUCUUCCUCUGCUGGAUGUCACCUUAUUUGAACUGGACACUUAGAACCAUGACAGCCAUCUGUGUCUAUGAGGGAGUGAGCCAGAGAACCAAGCUGACAUGUUGAAUAUGGACUUCUUUAAGGGCAUGAUGGCAAACAUCCUCAUUGUGAAUGGGAUUGGCAGCAAACAACUGUAUACCUGACUAACAGUGGCCUGAACAAAUAACGACAUAAUUUUCUCACCUUAUGAGAAGGCUGGAGGUAAGUGGCUGCUUGUAUUGGUUCAGAAGCUCAGUGGUGUUGGGACUGACACCACUGUGAUUCUCUUUGCCUUUCCCCCAUGGUUUCAAAAUGAUGGCUGUAUCCACGUUCAAGGAAGGAAGAAGAAAGUGCUGCAGUUCCAUUUUAUUGGGAAAGCAAAUGCUUUCCCAGAAACUUCACCAGAUUAUGCUUAUAUCUCAUUGGCUAGAACCACGUCACAUGGCCACCCCUAGCUGCAAGGGAGGCUGGGUAAGCAAGUAUUUAUUUGGCCAUAUUACUGCUUUGAACAAACUUAAGAUUCUAUUAAGGAAGAGACAAGUGAGAUAGAUUUUGAAUAGAUGGUAAAUCAUGUCUGCUAUAAUCCUAUGUAUCUUUUAUUCUUGAUGCCUG